UACGUAGGGCGCAAGCGUUGUCCGGAAUUACUGGGCGUAAAGAGCUCGUAGGUGGUUUGUCGCGUUGUUCGUGAAAACUCACAGCUCAACUGUGGGCGUGCGGGCGAUACGGGCAGACUAGAGUACUGCAGGGGAGACUGGAAUUCCUGGUGUAGCGGUGGAAUGCGCAGAUAUCAGGAGGAACACCGGUGGCGAAGGCGGGUCUCUGGGCAGUAACUGACGCUGAGGAGCGAAAGCGUGGGGAGCGAACAGG
Molecule: ribosomal RNA, 253 nt
Filed under: uncultured bacterium
Lineage: Bacteria
Description: partial 16S ribosomal RNA
Rfam family: Bacterial small subunit ribosomal RNA
Source: RNAcentral